Molecule: ribosomal RNA, 251 nt
Filed under: uncultured prokaryote
Description: partial 16S rRNA
Rfam family: Bacterial small subunit ribosomal RNA
Source: RNAcentral
ACGUAGGAGGCAAACGUUAUCCGGAUUUACUGGGCGUAAAGCGCGUGUAGGUGGUUCUGUAAGUAGGGCGUGAAAGCUCCUGGCUCAACUGGGAGAGGCCGUUCUAAACUGCAGAGCUAGAGGAUGGUAGAGGGAGGUGGAAUUCCGGGUGUAGCGGGGGAGUGCCCAGAUAUCCGGAGGAACCCCAGUGGCGAAAGCAGCCGCCUGGACUAGUCGUGACACUCAUACGCGAAAGCGAGGGUAACAAACGG